GGCGUAAGCUGUCGCUAUGGGAUGGCCCGCGGUGCAUUAGCUAGUUGGUAAGGUAAAAGGGCUUACCAAGGCGAUGAUGCAUAGCCCGAGUUGAGAGACUGAUCGGGCCACAUUGGGGACUGAGACACGGGGCCCAAACUCCUACGGGGGGAGGGGGCAGCAGUAGGGGGAAGUCUUCCACAAUGGACGCAAGUCUGAUGGAGCAACGCCGCGUGAGUGAAGAAGGUUUUCGGAUCGUAAAGCUCUGUUGUUGGUGAAGAAGGAUAGAGGUAGUAACUGGCCUUUAUUUGACGGUAAUCAACCAGAAAGUCACGGCUAACUACGUGCCAGCAGCCGCGGUAAU
This 343-nucleotide ribosomal RNA is filed under the name uncultured Lactobacillus sp. RNAcentral describes it as "bacterial SSU rRNA". It matches the Rfam family "Bacterial small subunit ribosomal RNA", at positions 202 to 524 of the family's 1533-position model. The record is from RNAcentral. Lineage: Bacteria; Bacillati; Bacillota; Bacilli; Lactobacillales; Lactobacillaceae.